UCCCCUCUCUCUCUCUCUCUCUCUCUCUCUGUCUCAUAUCAUGGUUGGCGGAUCUUAUUCCAACAGUUGCGCCAUUGAAUAAGCUAUUUCCAUCUUGACCAACUCUUCAUCCAACCAAUCAUUUUCUUUUUCUUCUUCCCCUUUCCUUUUCCACCUAUACUAUGUCCCCGGAGCUUGACUAUCUUCCACUCCAUCUUUGAUGAUUUCUCGCAAUAUUUCAAUUAAUUAGCUAUUUUGAUUUUCGGGUUUGUAAUUUUUGUGCUUUUUUCAACUGGGACAUCUCAAUUCACUGGAUUUUUGUACCAGUGGCAUCAAUUUUAGCAAGUGGGCUAAUUGGUAUGUAUGAUAUUUUCCAUAAUUUAUAGUCUUACCCCAGUUUUCUUGCUGUUCUGUGCAUAUCCCUUUUGGGUUUAGUUGAAAGAUAUGUUCUUUAAUGAAAUGUUUGAUUUGGUGUAAAUGUAUUAAUGACCUUGUGUAAGACAAUUCAUUCUGCAAUGUGGGAACUGGCUUUAUGUUUGAUUGAUUUUGUUAAGUAACCAACUCAUCUAAAAGCAUG
RNAcentral lists this long non-coding RNA (556 nucleotides) under Panax ginseng (ginseng). RNAcentral's name for it is "long non-coding RNA (PGIN_LNC004506)". Lineage: Eukaryota; Viridiplantae; Streptophyta; Magnoliopsida; Apiales; Araliaceae. The record is from RNAcentral.